GGCUUAGCUCAGUUGGUAGAGCGACUGACUUGUAAUCAGUAGGUCGCGGGUUCGACUCCUGCAGCCGG
RNAcentral lists this transfer RNA (68 nucleotides) under zebrafish metagenome. It matches the Rfam family "tRNA". From Rfam's summary of the family: Transfer RNA (tRNA) molecules are approximately 80 nucleotides in length. The record is from RNAcentral.